UGAUUGACGGUGCAAAGCGUCAAUUUUAUCUCCAAAAAAUUGCUUUAAUGCAUCAAAAUCAUUCUCUAACUUCUUUGAACGCUCCCUAGCCUCUUCGGCGACCUUGGUAGCCACUUGAGCUUGGGCCACUGCAUCCUGAGCAAUUUGUUCAGCUCUAAUUCUAGCUGCCAUCUCCGCUUCUAAAGACAUCCCAGUCAUAGAAUUAGA
RNAcentral lists this long non-coding RNA (207 nucleotides) under Cicer arietinum (chickpea). RNAcentral describes it as "long non-coding RNA (CARI_LNC003218)". Lineage: Eukaryota; Viridiplantae; Streptophyta; Magnoliopsida; Fabales; Fabaceae. The record is from RNAcentral.